Molecule: ribosomal RNA, 443 nt
Filed under: Staphylococcus pseudintermedius
Lineage: Bacteria; Bacillati; Bacillota; Bacilli; Caryophanales; Staphylococcaceae
Description: bacterial SSU rRNA
Rfam family: Bacterial small subunit ribosomal RNA
Source: RNAcentral
GGCUCAGGAUGAACGCUGGCGGCGUGCCUAAUACAUGCAAGUCGAGCGAACAGAUAAGGAGCUUGCUCCUUUGACGUUAGCGGCGGACGGGUGAGUAACACGUGGGUAACCUACCUAUAAGACUGGAAUAACUCCGGGAAACCGGGGCUAAUGCCGGAUAACAUGUUGAACCGCAUGGUUCUACAGUGAAAGACGGUCUUGCUGUCACUUAUAGAUGGACCCGCGCCGUAUUAGCUAGUUGGUGGGGUAACGGCCUACCAAGGCGACGAUACGUAGCCGACCUGAGAGGGUGAUCGGCCACACUGGAACUGAGACACGGUCCAGACUCCUACGGGAGGCAGCAGUAGGGAAUCUUCCGCAAUGGGCGAAAGCCUGACGGAGCAACGCCGCGUGAGUGAUGAAGGUCUUCGGAUCGUAAAGCUCUGUUGUUAGGGAAGAACAAA